CCUACGGGGGGCUGCAGUGGGGGAUAUUGCACAAUGGGGGAAACCCUGAUGCAGCGACGCCGCGUGGGUGAAGAAGUAUUUCGGUAUGUAAAGCCCUAUCAGCAGGGAAGAAAGAAGACGGUACCUGACUAAGAAGCCCCGGCUAACUACGUGCCAGCAGCCGCGGUAAUACGUAGGGGGCGAGCGUUAUCCGGAUUCACUGGGUGUAAAGGGAGCGUAGACGGCCGUGCAAGCCAGGAGUGAAAGCCCGGGGCCCAACCCCGGGACUGCUCUUGGAACUGUGCGGCUGGAGUGCGGGAGGGGCAGGCGGAAUUCCUGGUGUAGCGGUGAAAUGCGUAGAUAUCAGGAGGAACACCGGCGGCGAAGGCGGCCUGCUGGACCGCGACUGACGUUGAGGCUCGAAAGCGUGGGGAGCGAACAGGAUUAGAUACCCGAGUAGUC
This 441-nucleotide ribosomal RNA is filed under the name uncultured bacterium. RNAcentral describes it as "partial 16S ribosomal RNA". It matches the Rfam family "Bacterial small subunit ribosomal RNA", at positions 338 to 795 of the family's 1533-position model. The record is from RNAcentral.